AUUGAACGCUGGCGGCAGGCUUAACACAUGCAAGUCGAGCGAGCGGCGGACGGGUGAGUAAUGUCUGGGAAACUGCCUGAUGGAGGGGGAUAACUACUGGAAACGGUAGCUAAUACCGCAUACCAUCAGAUGUGCCCAGAUGGGAUUAGCUCGUAGGGGGGGUAAUGGCUCACCUAGGCGACGAACCCUAGCUGGUCUGAGGGGAUGACAGGCAACAUUGGAACUGGGCAACGGUCCAGAUUCGUACGGGAGGCAGCAGUGGGGAAUAUUGCACAAUGGGCGCAAGCCUGAUGCAGCCAUGCCGCGUGUGUGAAGAAGGCCUUCGGGUUGUAAGGCACUUUCGGCGAGGAGGCGUUACUCGCAGAAGAAGCACCGGCAAACUCCGUGCCAGCAGCCGCGGUAAUA
This 405-nucleotide ribosomal RNA is filed under the name uncultured bacterium. RNAcentral describes it as "partial 16S ribosomal RNA". It matches the Rfam family "Bacterial small subunit ribosomal RNA", at positions 30 to 525 of the family's 1533-position model. The record is from RNAcentral.